CAGCAACUGAAAUUAUGUUAAUUUAUGUAUCAAAUGAAAGGCUCUAUUUUAUGUUGAAAACGUGGCCCUAUUGAAGAAAUUCAGUAGCUAAGUGGUUAAACGAGAUGAAUGACUUUUGGCUAUUGAUUGGUUUUUGAUGAAUAUCUUGGAAUGGAGGAAAGAUAGCGACAUGUUCAUCAUGACCUUUUUUAUGGAUCUAAUUGAGUACUAGACAAAAUUUCCUUAUCUCUAAUACGAUUCUGAGUUGGGGUCAGAUAUUGAUUCAAACGUAGUCAGGUGUCAUCUGAUCAGGUUUGGAUUCAGUAAAUUUAAUCAAAAAUAAUAGCAGCAGCAUCGAGGAGAUUCUGAUCACAUUCUGAUGGAGUGGACAUGAUCUCAGUUUGAAGCCAGCCUGAAAUAUUUCUCAUCUAAAUUUGGUUAUGCUCCCCUGACUUCACUCAGAAGUCAGAUAUUCUGAAAGUACUAUGAUCUAAAUCUGACUUGUCUAUACUCACCUAUCUAUACUUUUCAAAUGAUAUAUCUUGGAAUGGUUACGGCCACAAGCAGUAUGACAUUGCAGCCCAGUUUCUAGUCAGUUUAAUUAAUUUUUCAUUCGCUCUGGUCGAAUUGAUAUUUAUGGAAAAUGUGGUUAGAAAUCAGGA
Molecule: long non-coding RNA, 641 nt
Organism: Diachasmimorpha longicaudata
Lineage: Eukaryota; Metazoa; Arthropoda; Insecta; Hymenoptera; Braconidae
Exons: 3
Source: RefSeq, a predicted model, not a curated record